CAAUGACAAGAAAGAUCACCGACAAGUUAAAGUCUGGCUUCUCAUCAUUUUUUAUGCUUUUCUCAAGAAAAUUAAUUCGGACAACUCUUCUCCUAUGGGUGUUAUUCUUUGCAAAUGUUUUCUCAUAUUAUGGCGCUGUCUUGUUGACCUCUAAGCUAAGCAGUGGAGACAAUAAAUGCGGCUCAAAGGUCUUGCAUGCGGACAAGUCGAAAGAUAAUAGCCUGUAUGUCGAUGUGUUUAUCGCUAGUUUGGCAGGUACUGUAUGACUUCCGUUGACCGUCAUGUGCUCUAUAUUUUGAAAUAUAUUCUGCUCUUUUAACACCUUUAUUUUCUUUCAUAUAGUGUCAUGGCUUAGUAACAUUUGUGUUGAUUUUAUAUUACAGAGCUUCCCGGGCUUAUCUUGUCAGCAAUAAUAGUGGACAAAAUUGGCCGCAAGCUUUCCAUGGUUCUUAUGUUUGUCUCAGCUUGCAUUUUCCUUCUGCCACUGGUCUUCCAUCAGUCUGCUGUAGUAACUACGGUGUUACUGUUCGGAGUUCGCAUGUGUGUCACAGGAACCAUAACAGUUGCCACAAUUUAUGCCCCUGAGGUAAUCUGAUGGAACUUCUCAUACCUAUCGAAAGAAAAUUGUACUAAUUAAUAGCGCUUGAGUUCUUGAUAUGUUAUAGGCUUCAUUUUUAUGAUCGUUUACUCUUUCAAGUUUCACAAAUAUGUUUUUCAUAUCAGAUAUAUCCUACGUCUGCGAGGACAACUGGGUUUGGUGUUGCAAGUUCUUUGGGAAAAGUAGGAGGCAUGGUAUGCCCUCUUGUUGCCGUUGGACUUGUAACCAGUUGUCACCUAAGACUUGCGGUUAUUCUGUUUGAGGUUGUAUUUGUUCUGGCUAUAGCCUCUUCUCUGCUCUUCCCAUUUGAAACCAUGGGACGGGAACUAAAAGACACCGUGGAUGCAAUUGAAUCAUAGUAAGCUUGUUGCUCUGUUUCUUAUACUCUCUUGCUAGUGGAAAAAGUAUGUCAGUGCACAAUACUUCAGCAAACUUUCUUACUUCUCAUUGAACGCUUAUGAAUUGGAUGCAAAUGUUAUGUAAAUAGAGUUUCAACUUUCAAGUGCAUUAAUUAAUUUUCAUGUCUAGAUCUCUCUCAUCAUCAUCAUCUCCUUUCACCACUUUUCAAAUUUUGGGCUUGCAGCCGAAUUUCAAUAAGGCUUUUAGGCUUCGUAUGUUGCUGUUGAAAUAAAAGAUACCAAGUGCUAUGUGAAAAAAGAAACUGUACGGUUGGUGUCAAGUAGAAAAAUGCAAAAAUUAUCAAUGAUCACGGCCCAUAAAAUCAAACUAAUUAACAUUAGCUCAUUAAAUUAUCAGCCACGUCAUCACUGCUCCAAAUUCGGAAAGAUAUCAACUGAAAUGAAAGAAUAUUAACAAUAAUUAAUAAUAAAAAUAUCUCGUCUUUAGUUGCCUACAGCAACUAAAAUGUUGAGUGGACAAAGUAUCCUCAAAUCCGACGCUUUAUAUUUAAUUAGUUAAUGUUCAAUCUUGCCAUCUGGAGAAUACACGUGAUCCCCCUGGCCCACAUUCCCAUAAUUCCGAACUAAAAUAUUCAGAGUUUUACGCUGCAGGGCUGGAACCCGCGCAGCGGAAUUUCCCGAACUCCAGACACCAAAAUCAUUAUUAACCCGUGAGAUAUCUUAUUAAUUAGGAAGGAACGGCAAAAGGUGUUAUCCGCGCGACAAGUCGGUUUAACUCGGCAUCUUAGGAUUUAUUAUCAUACUCCGAGUUUAAACCUUUAUUUCGGGUGAACCCAAUAUCAAGUUAAUAUGUAUCUCUUAGAACACAUUUGGUUAAUUUGUCAAUAAUAUUGUUGUCUGGACUUUUAGUCCAACUGAUCAGUUAAAAGAAAAAGGUUUCUUUGACCGAAACAUACAAGGAUACAAAUUUCUUUCCUUGAUUUGUAAUUUGUUAGUUAUUACAAAUUAUUUGUGCCAUUGGCGGUGUUAUUGUUGGAGGUGAGAAGUAGCCUCAUCGUUUUUAAUUGGGUUCAGUAGAUGGGAGAUGAAAGCCUUGUGUACACGUUGGAUGGAGCACUUUCUGCUCUGAGAUUUGGCGAACUACAUAGCUGUUGUGCUCUCUCGUAUGCUGGACUCGGUUGGUUUUCGGAAGCGAUGGAGAUGAUAAUUCUCUCUUUUGUAGGACCAGCAGUGAAGUCCAAAUGGGGACUCGCCUCAGGCGACUGUUGUUUUUUUUUAUUGGGAUGCUGUUUGUUUCUGUUAAUUUCGGGGAGGAAGUAGCCUAUUUCGUCCUUCCGUUUUGUUAAUUUACUUUUGCUUCUCCCACAUGUAGGCACGCAGAAGCAAUUAUGCUGUCCGAACUGUCCAUGCAGAAUAAAGAAUUUAUGGAUGAUUUUAAGCUUUGAAUAUUAGCACAUUCGAACUCUAAUCAUAGGCUUCACGAAUUAAUAAAGUGAAAAUCAUUUUUCAGUUUCUAGAUUAUUGCUAUAUGUACUGUACUACCAGUGGCUUUCUAAGGAAAUAGAAGCCCUUGGUGGUACAAGAUAUUAUUCAUUUCUUUUUUUUCUUUACGUCAAUCCGCCUUUUUCUUUCUGAUGCCUGAUGUUGUCUGGUCUGCUCUUUCUAAGUGCCUGAUGUUGUCUGGUCUGCUCUUUCCAGAAAAGAGUAUGCUCGGCUUAGCAGUGGUAACUUGUGUGGCUGGAUUGCUGAGUGCUUUCUCACCAAAUUAUGCAUCAAUGGUGAUAUGUCGUUGUUUGGGCAGAGGACACGUAUUUUUAUUCUAUUUUUCUAGAGUUGGUUCCUGUUUCUCGUAGAGGUGCGUGGAUGGUAGUGUGCUCAGCUUACUGGAGUGCUGGAACAAUCUUUAAGGCUUCACUUGCCUGGGUAUGCUUUCUGUCCUGACUUCAAACUCAAAAGUCACUUACAUCAUGAAGCUUAAGAGUCUGCUUUCUGAUAACAUAUUUCUUUCUUGAUAAAUUAAUACGCAAUUUUACGCAAUAUUAUGCUGGUGACUGAAGAAGGCCUUGAGGCUUCAUAAAAUGUCAACAUGCCUUCACUUGAACAAUGUCAUGAUUAAACUGAAUUGGAGGUGGUUACCUGCACUUUCUGCUGUACCAUCAUUCGCUCUGCUUCUCUUUUAUUGUCCAGCUCCUGAGUCAUCAAGUUAUUUAUUGGCUAUAUGGGUAGUAAAAUUUGAUCACUUAAUCGAUAACAGAAUUACACAUAUUAUGCCCUUUAAGAUGUCGAGUGAUUUUUAAAUAAUUUUAUCUAAUUGGUCACCUCAAUAUGAAUUUUGAGAGUGAUAAGAAAUAAAAAAUUAAUAUGGAUAAAGACCGUUUCUUUAUUUUUUUAAAUAGAAAAUAAAAAAUUACACAUUAAAUUAUUUUUUAUUUUUAAAUAAUUUUUUAAUUUAUAGUAUCAGGAGAAAGUAUUUAUUAAUAACCCAAUUUGUUUUAUUCUUUUACGAUUUUAUGACGGUUAUUUCAAUGAUUUUACAAACGAAAUCUUUGCAAAAUUUGAUGGCAUGGACCAUUGAAAUAACCGUCAUAAAAUCUUUUGCGAUUUUAUGACGGUUAUUUCAAUGAUUUUACUAACGAAAUCAUGGAAAAUGUGGAUUAAGUUCUUAUUCGUGAUUAUGCUAAAAAGUAGGAACAUGGCUAAGCAGGGUAAUUGAUGGAUCUUCCGGAACCUUCUCUCCGUCAACAUUACCCUUAUUAUUAUUAUUAUUAUUAUUAUUAUUAUUAUUGUCUUUGUUUUUGGAUUUGUGACAAUUCAGCCCAAACAGAAACGGAUAUGGCCGAGACAGGGGUUAACAUUCUUUUGAAUUGGAGACCUUACGAUGAUGCAUUUAUUGUAGAGUGAAUCUAUUUAUGCCCCUCAAAUAUCCUCCGAAGACCCCCAUUUUCAGUAAAAUCCAACAUGAUUCCAAAAAUACCCUUUUAAUCAACACCUAAUUUAUGAUUAUUUAAUUCAUUUAUGAUUUUUAAGCCAUUUUCUCACUCUUGAAAUUAGUCUUAUUUAUUUUUAUUGUAACAUUUUUUUAAAAAAAAGUUCUUUCUAUCAAUAAACUUAUGAAUGAGAAUAAUUGAUUUGGAAAUUAUGGUUGAAAAGUAGUUUCAAGUAUAAUGAAAGAAAAAUACAAAUAGAAGAAAUUGUUUUAAAUUUAGGGAAACAAAUCAUAUACAUGAGAGUCAUGUCUCUCAACUCAAGUCACAUAAAUAUAACCUACAAAAAUAAAAAUAAGAGAGAACUAAUAAAUUACUAUGGAUUAAAGAGGCAAAAGAGUGAGAAAAAAAAAAACACAUGUAUAUGCACAUGCAACAAAAAUAACAGGAAAAUUAUGCAAUCUUAAUUUUUUUUUGAUAUACUAAUAUAUUACAAUCAAAUCUCUACUGAUAUUUAUAAUUAGAAAUCAAUCGAGGACUCUCCUGAAUAAUCUUAUUAUAGGAGAGUCUGAAGGUUAACCCUCACUUAAAGUUGGAGUAAAAUAUAUCCUCACUAUUAAUAUUAGAGCCUAUUAUACGACAAUUUAAACGUUUACUUAAAAUUAGAGGAAUAUUUAUUCUCACUGUUAAUAUUAGAAAAACAUUAAUUUUACCCUAAUAGAGAGACACAAAUAAACCUCUAUUAUACAAAAAAAAAAAAAAAAAAAAUCGAAUCCACCGCCGUACUAAUACUGAGAUUUGAACUGCCAAAGGGGUCGUAAUUUUUUAAUAUAACGAUCCCACUAAAAAAGCAUAAGAUCCUAUUUGAUAACUAUUCCGUCGAAAAAUUUUGAGUGAAAUAUCAUUACUAAUUACCACAUUACCGAUGACCUAUGUCAUGUCAUGCGAACUGGUGACGAACUCCGGCAAAGUUGGUGUCAUUUUCUACACACUUGUCAACUAGCGCUCGCCGCAGUGGUGGCAUUCGGUAAUCUUUCUUGUUCUUGAUGUUAUCAAACACCAACAAAACGACAGCCCCCGUGGUUCCCACCUCCUUCUCUUUCAACACAAUCAUAAUUUUCUUUUUAAUCGUAUUGAUCGGACCACAAAUGACCCAAACCCUUCCACAUGUCUCUUUCUGGUUUGAUCGAUUCACGGUCUCGCCCACUUGCACCAACACCUAAAGAACAUUCAAUUAUUCGUUGACGACCUUCUGACAAUGAUUACGGGGAUUCCCAUUUCCAUAUCCACCUCUGUACGACAAGUCGGUCUAGCGUCCUACUAGUAUUUGUGAUAGUUACUCCACCGCUCUGUGCUCUGUAGUCAGUACGCACUCUUUCAGGUGAAACCAGUAAAGGUAAUUUCUUGUUUUUCGUAUUUUCAUUGUUCUUUUUGUGAUCAUGUAGAGAAUUUUGAUCAUUUGGCUUGCACGUGUUUGCUAAAGAAAGGUGGUGCAUUUGUGUUCCCACAAUUACUGCAUUUUGUUGUUAGUUGAUAAGCAAUUCUUGCGAAGCUACUUCAGAACUAUUUAAUUUAAGCUGGGCAUACAUGUUUUUGAAUAUCCAGAAACUUGCCUGAAUUCACUUUGGUAUGGGACAUAUUUGUGCAAAUGUUUUAUCAAACUUCCCAAAAGUGCUUUCCCUGGAGUUGUUGUUGCAGCAAGCAAAAAGAAAAGCUGCUUUCUUCUGGUGUACUGAAUGAAUUUUGACUUCAUAUUGACAAUUUAUUUUUCUCUGUCUCACUGUCUGUCUCCUGGAACCUAACAUACACCCUCAAGUGGAUUUUUUUGACUUUUUAUUUUUUAUUUUCAAACAAAGAAUUAUAGAAUUAAAAUAUGUGAAGUUGCUGAAAAACAUAAGGAUGUUAUAUGUAUUUAAAAAAAAAAAAAAAAUUGACUUCAAGUUUAUGUCACUUACAACACAUUUCAACAUUUGAUUAGUUUACUGUGUAAACUUUCAUCCAAUUGAGCAGAAAACAAGUUUCUUUGACUGAAACAUAUAAAUUCAAUGGUCCAACUAUGCAUAAGGAUAUGAAAUUCUCUCUUGUUAUUUGUUACGAUUAUUUGUGCCAUUGCUGUUGUCUCCCUGUUGGUAAGAGUAGUCAUUAUUUAUGCAAAUAUAGUCUGCAGUGGACUAAUAAUUUUGAUGGAUAUGUUUAUGGACAACAAUAUCUUUCAAUUUGGGUCUUUAGAUGGGAGAUGAACGUCCUGUGUACACGCUGGAUGAAGCACUUUCUGCUCUGAGGUUUGGGAAGUACCAAGCUCUAGUGCUGGCAUAUGCUGGACUUGGUUGGUUUUCAGAGGCAAUGGAGAUUAUGAUUCUCUCUUUUGUUGGACCAGCAGUCAAAUCAAAGUGGAAACUAACCUCAAGCGAAGAGAGCCUGCUAACCACUGUUGUUUUCGCUGGGAUGCUGCUUGGAGCUUAUUCUUGGGGAAUCAUUUCUGAUAAUUAUGGGAGGAGGUAGGUUAUUGCUUGUUAAUUCAGACAUCGAACGUAUAGUUGCUAUGUUGCUAGAAUAGCUUCUUACCUUGCAGAUGGCAUAUUAUUAUUCUUUUAGCCUAUAUCUUCAUCUGCUCACAGGAGGAUUUGUAUUUAAAAGAUUUCAUUUUGAUUCUUAUACUUCUGGAGAUUACUUGGGAGUUUCAUCAUGUGCUUUCUCCACAAUUUGGAUUUGCCUUCUGGAUGUUUCUCACUAUUUCAACUUAGAUAUGUACAUAUUAAAUUUCAAAUAUGUUUAAUAUCUUUGUCCCUUUUUAUUGUAACCUCAACUGUUUUUGCAACUCAUCUGAGCUCUUGAUGCCUGUUUUACCUUUAACAGGUUCAAUUUUUAACUCGCCCACUCAAACAUCAACAUGUAGGCACACAGAAGCAAUUAGGGCGUCACAAAUAUCCAUGCAGAAAGAAUAAAGUGUUUAUGCAGUGUUACAAAUUUUCUAAAUUAGCAGACUGAGGUUUGAAAUUCUAAAAAAGUUUAGCACCCUUUCUAAGCCACCCUUUCUAAGCCAUUGAUUUCCCUUUAAUUUAUCAAUUUCCAGUUUUUCCAACCUGUUCAGUGGUCUUCCUACAAUGUUACUACAAGUAUUACUAGAAUCUGUAAGGAAUAUUUCUGUCACCACAUUCUUUUCUUGCUGUUCCACUCAUUGCAUAAUACUUGUGAAUUGCCGUAGGCAGAAAUGUUAUUGUAUUUUCAAGUCAUACGCGCCAUGGAUUAUAAAGCGCAAAUCAUUUUUAUGUUUCUUGACUGUUAUAUGUGCAAAAUGUUAUUGUAUUUUCAAGUCAUAGGCACCAUGGAUUAUAAAGCGCAGAUCUUUUUUAUGUUUCUUGACUGUUAUAUGUGCUGCAAGAAGCUUUUUGCUUGGUACAGCUCAAAUAUGAGUCUGUUCAACUUCGCUUUCCACCAGGCUUUUAAGGUUCAGUUUAUUUCAGUACAUCAGUUCACCUUUUUUCCCUGAUAUCCUUAAGUAAAUCAUAAAGAUGCACUUAUCCAUCAAAUGUUAGGCCAGUCUACUUAAGAAUUUAUUCAUAAAUAUACAGUCUUUGGUUGAAACUCGAUGUUUUAUAAGUACUUUUUUCUAGUUUUAUUAAUUGCUGACUAGUGUCUGCUCUCCCCAGAAAGAGUUUUCUCAGCAUAGCUAUGGUAACUAGUGUGGCUGGACUAUUAAGUACUUUCUCCCCAAAUUAUGUAUCAUUGGUGAUAUUUCGUUGUUUCGUUGGUAUUGGUUUGGGGGGAGGACCUGUAUUCUUAUCCUAUUUUCUGGAGUUCGUUCCUGUUUCACAUAGAGGCACGUGGAUGGUAGCCUUCUCAGCUUUUUGGACAGCUGGAACGAUUUUUGAGGCUUCACUUGCCUGGGUAUGUAUAAUUUCCUAACUUCUACUGUCAUUAUCCAAAUAACUCUUAGAUUAUAUUUCUUUUACUUUCUAGAAACAGUCCUGUUUUUACCUUGUGGCAUGGUAAUGAUGUGGGAAAGGAAAUAAAGAAAAGAGAGAGUGGGAGAAAAGAAUUACAAAGCGAAGAAGAAGAAGAACAAAGAGAAUUAAGCGACGAAACAAGAUUUCAGUGAAUUAAUAAUCACUAAAAACUAAUCCUCUAUAUAUGGUAGUCCAAACCUAAUCUGAAGGGAAUCUACUCCUGUUGGCAGAGGAACACCAAGUUUCCAAAAUGAAACAAAUUCCUAAACUAAUUAGUAUCUAAAACUUCAAAACGUGUUCGAUAUCACUUGAAGCUUAAGAGUCUUCCAGAGAAGAUUGAGGUAUCUUUAGGUAAUAGUUUCCUCAUAAAAUUUUACAAGUAUUGUGCAUUGGUAAGCUCUCCCAGCUGGUUUUGCUCGUUCUUCAUUAUUCAAAAUCUUUUGGCAUCGUUCCAGAAAAGAUAUUGUACCUUUAAAAGUUUAUGAUAUUCGGAAAAAUGGACGUUUAUCUUCAACUGAUGUCUGAACCAAAUAACUAAUCAUGCUUUUCUAUUUUUAUUCUUCUUAAGCGACAACUGGUAUGCUGGUGACAGGAGGCUCUGAGGCUCCAUAAAAUUUAAAAAUUCUUUCAUUUGCAGGUUGUCAUGACAAGACUGAAUUGGAGGUGGCUACUUGCAUUUUCCUCUGUACCAUCAUUUGCUCUGCUUCUCUUUUAUGGUCUAGCACCUGAGUCACCCAGGUAUUUGUGUGCGAAAGCUAGAACAGUUGAUGCACAUAGAAUUCUCGAGAAGAUGGCUUUUGUCAACCAAACAAAACUCCCACCCGGCAUUCUUGUUUCUGAUAAAGCAAUUAAAGAGAACGAAGAAUCAAGUUUAUUGCGAGAUACACAUAUGAUCUCAAUGACAAGAAAGAUCACCGACAAGUUAAAGUCUGGCUUCUCAUCAUUUUUUAUGCUUUUCUCAAGAAAAUUAAUUCGGACAACUGUUCUCCUAUGGGUGUUAUUCUUUGCAAAUGCUUUCUCAUAUUAUGGCGCUGUCUUGUUGACCUCUAAGCUAAGCAGUGGAGACAGUAAAUGCGGCUCAAAAGUCUUGCAUGCGGACAAGUCGAAAGAUAAUAGCCUGUAUGUCGAUGUGUUUAUCACUAGUUUUGCAG
This 8979-nucleotide long non-coding RNA is filed under the name Citrus maxima (pomelo). RNAcentral's name for it is "long non-coding RNA (CMAX_LNC001983)". The record is from RNAcentral. Lineage: Eukaryota; Viridiplantae; Streptophyta; Magnoliopsida; Sapindales; Rutaceae.